Molecule: long non-coding RNA, 609 nt
Organism: Clupea harengus (Atlantic herring)
Lineage: Eukaryota; Metazoa; Chordata; Actinopteri; Clupeiformes; Clupeidae
Source: Ensembl
UUUAAAGGACCCAUCGUAUGCCCAUUUUACCACAAGUUGAUAUGGUUCCUUGGGGUCUUAAUGAAAUGUCUGUAACAUAUUUUGGUCAAAAUACCACAGGGAUCAUUAUUAAUGGCAUCCUUUUUACCCUGCCAAACACAGCCAUUCUGUCAGCGAGCUGUUUUGAGCUCUUAUGCUAAUGAGCCAGCUAACCCCUCCCCCCGCCCUCCUCCCCCCUCCUCUACGGUUUUGGGCUAAUCAUUCUAACCUUUUAGUUUUUAGCUACUCAUUCUUACCAAGUUUAGUUUUGUAAAAUAUGGCGACUGGAUACGAGAUUGUUCAGACCCUGAACAAGAAGAGGCUCCCAAAACAGUUUGAGAAUUUAGGGUACAACAGGACGUUUCUGAAUGGCGUAAUUGUGCCAAGUGUGAGCAAAUGCCUACAGAGCCUGAGAAUGGAUGCUGCAGGGAGAUGCCACAGACGUUACAGGUAUUUGGUGUACAGAAGCUUUGUUAGCAGGUCUUGGGGCUUUCUGGGACGGAGAAUCUGGGUGGUCCUGCUCUUCUGCUCCAGAUGGUGCUUUGGAGGAUCUGUCUGACAGGCCACAUGAUGUAGCCUAGGACACUGUUC